UGGGAUGUAGGUGAGUGGUAGAGUGCUUGCUAACAUGCAUGAGGCCCUGGGUUUAAUCCCCAGCAUCGCAA
RNAcentral lists this transfer RNA (71 nucleotides) under Fukomys damarensis (Damara mole-rat). It matches the Rfam family "tRNA". Rfam says of the family: Transfer RNA (tRNA) molecules are approximately 80 nucleotides in length. Their secondary structure includes four short double-helical elements and three loops (D, anti-codon, and T loops). Further hydrogen bonds mediate the characteristic L-shaped molecular structure. tRNAs have two regions of fundamental functional importance: the anti-codon, which is responsible for specific mRNA codon recognition, and the 3' end, to which the tRNAs corresponding amino acid is attached (by aminoacyl-tRNA synthetases). tRNAs cope with the degeneracy of the genetic code in two manners: having more than one tRNA (with a specific anti-codon) for a particular amino acid; and 'wobble' base-pairing, i.e. permitting non-standard base-pairing at the 3rd anti-codon position. The record is from Rfam by way of RNAcentral. Lineage: Eukaryota; Metazoa; Chordata; Mammalia; Rodentia; Bathyergidae.